GACGAAAGCUGGCGGCGUGCUUAACACAUGCAAGUCGAACGGAAAGGCCCUGCUUUUGUGGGGUGCUCGAGUGGCGAACGGGUGAGUAACACGUGAGUAACCUGCCCUUGACUUUGGGAUAACUUCAGGAAACUGGGGCUAAUACCGGAUAGGAGCUCCUGCUGCAUGGUGGGGGUUGGAAAGUUUCGGCGGUUGGGGAUGGACUCGCGGCUUAUCAGCUUGUUGGUGGGGUAGUGGCUUACCAAGGCUUUGACGGGUAGCCGGCCUGAGAGGGUGAUCGGCCACAUUGGGACUGAGAUACGGCCCAGACUCCUACGGGAGGCAGCAGUGGGGAAUAUUGCACAAUGGGCGGAAGCCUGAUGCAGCAACGCCGCGUGCGGGAUGACGGCCUUCGGGUUGUAAACCGCUUUCGCCUGUGACGAAGCGUGAGUGACGGUAAUGGGUAAAGAAGCACCGGCUAACUACGUG
RNAcentral lists this ribosomal RNA (468 nucleotides) under uncultured bacterium. RNAcentral describes it as "partial 16S ribosomal RNA". It matches the Rfam family "Bacterial small subunit ribosomal RNA", at positions 28 to 507 of the family's 1533-position model. The record is from RNAcentral.